UGAUAGCCUCUGGGGGCCAGUCGAGCCACAUCCGAGGCCAGGGAAUCCGGUGCGAAUCCGGAACUGACGCGCAGCGGUGAGGGGGACGGGCGGGGCACACCAUGCCACUGGGAAGGGAACGGGCCGGCCGAAGGGCGGGCGCGGGACCGCCCCGGGAAGGCGCCUCGUCCGGGCGAACCCGAGUCCGAAGACCUGCUGGCACCUCCGCGCCCCG
Molecule: non-coding RNA, 214 nt
Filed under: Streptomyces bingchenggensis
Lineage: Bacteria; Bacillati; Actinomycetota; Actinomycetes; Kitasatosporales; Streptomycetaceae
Also listed under: 1 other name
Source: RNAcentral